Molecule: signal recognition particle RNA, 98 nt
Filed under: Sulfurimonas sp.
Lineage: Bacteria; Pseudomonadati; Campylobacterota; Epsilonproteobacteria; Campylobacterales; Sulfurimonadaceae
Description: signal recognition particle sRNA small type
Rfam family: Bacterial small signal recognition particle RNA
About the family: The signal recognition particle (SRP) is a universally conserved ribonucleoprotein involved in the co-translational targeting of proteins to membranes. Archaeal SRP consists of a 7S RNA and homologues of the eukaryotic SRP19 and SRP54 proteins.
Source: RNAcentral
UCUUUAGACCUGUGCAAUGGUGUUUUAGGGCACCGUGUCAGGGUAGGAAUACAGCAGCACACCUUAGCUCGCCAUGUGCCGCAGGUAUCUGAAGGGGA